This 400-nucleotide ribosomal RNA is filed under the name phytoplankton environmental sample. Its description in RNAcentral is "partial small subunit ribosomal RNA". It matches the Rfam family "Eukaryotic small subunit ribosomal RNA", at positions 587 to 990 of the family's 1831-position model. The record is from RNAcentral.
AGCUCCAAUAGCGUAUAUUAAAGUUGUUGCAGUUAAAAAGCUCGUAGUUGGAUUUCGGAGCCGACCGGGCGGUCUGUCGAGAGACACGCACUGCUCGGUGGCUCUUCCUCUCGGAGGCCCUGGCUGCCCUUAACUGGAGCGGGCAGGGGAUUCGGGACGUUUACUUUGAAAAAAUUAGAGUGUUCAAAGCAGGCUUCACUGAGCCAGAAUACAUGAGCAUGGAAUAAUGGAAUAGGACCGCGGUCUUAUUUUGUUGGUUUCUAAAACCGCAGUAAUGAUUAAGAGGGACAAUUGGGGGCGUCCGUAUUUCGUUGUCAGAGGUGAAAUUCUUGGAUUUACGAAAGACGAACAACUGCGAAAGCAUUCGCCAAGAGUGUUUUCAUUAAUCAAGAACGAAAGU